Molecule: ribosomal RNA, 1346 nt
Filed under: uncultured bacterium
Lineage: Bacteria
Description: partial 16S ribosomal RNA
Rfam family: Bacterial small subunit ribosomal RNA
Source: RNAcentral
GACGAACGCUGGCGGCGUGCUUAACACAUGCAAGUCGAACGGAAAGGCCCUGCUUUUGUGGGGUGCUCGAGUGGCGAACGGGUGAGUAACACGUGAGUAACCUGCCCUUGACUUUGGGAUAACUUCAGGAAACUGGGGCUAAUACCGGAUAGGAGCUCCUGCUGCAUGGUGGGGGUUGGAAAGUUUCGGCGGUUGGGGAUGGACUCGCGGCUUAUCAGCUUGUUGGUGGGGUAGUGGCUUACCAAGGCUUUGACGGGUAGCCGGCCUGAGAGGGUGACCGGCCACAUUGGGACUGAGAUACGGCCCAGACUCCUACGGGAGGCAGCAGUGGGGAAUAUUGCACAAUGGGCGGAAGCCUGAUGCAGCAACGCCGCGUGCGGGAUGACGGCCUUCGGGUUGUAAACCGCUUUCGCCUGUGACGAAGCGUGAGUGACGGUAAUGGGUAAAGAAGCACCGGCUAACUACGUGCCGGCAGCCGCGGUGAUACGUAGGGUGCGAGCGUUGUCCGGAUUUAUUGGGCGUAAAGGGCUCGUAGGUGGUUGAUCGCGUCGGAAGUGUAAUCUUGGGGCUUAACCCUGAGCGUGCUUUCGAUACGGGUUGACUUGAGGAAGGUAGGGGAGAAUGGAAUUCCUGGUGGAGCGGUGGAAUGCGCAGAUAUCAGGAGGAACACCAGUGGCGAAGGCGGUUCUCUGGGCCUUUCCUGACGCUGAGGAGCGAAAGCGUGGGGAGCGAACAGGCUUAGAUACCCUGGUAGUCCACGCUGUAAACGGUGGGUACUAGGUGUGGGGUCCAUUCCACGGGUUCCGUGCCGUAGCUAACGCUUUAAGUACCCCGCCUGGGGAGUACGGCCGCAAGGCUAAAACUCAAAGGAAUUGACGGGGCCCCGCACAAGCGGCGGAGCAUGCGGAUUAAUUCGAUGCAACGCGUAGAACCUUACCUGGGUUUGACAUGGAUCGGGAGUGCUCAGAGAUGGGUGUGCCUCUUUUGGGGUCGGUUCACAGGUGGUGCAUGGCUGUCGUCAGCCCGUGUCGUGAGAUGUUGGGUUAAGUCCCGCAACGAGCGCAACCCUUGUUCACUGUUGCCAGCACGUUAUGGUGGGGACUCAGUGGAGACCGCCGGGGUCAACUCGGAGGAAGGUGGGGAUGACGUCAAGUCAUCAUGCCCCUUAUGUCCAGGGCUUCACGCAUGCUACAAUGGCUGGUACAGAGAGUGGCGAGCCUGUGAGGGUGAGCGAAUCUCGGAAAGCCGGUCUCAGUUCGGAUUGGGGUCUGCAACUCGACCUCAUGAAGUCGGAGUCGCUAGUAAUCGCAGAUCAGCAACGCUGCGGUGAAUACGUUCCCGGGGCU